RNAcentral lists this ribosomal RNA (606 nucleotides) under uncultured Microvirgula sp. RNAcentral describes it as "bacterial SSU rRNA". It matches the Rfam family "Bacterial small subunit ribosomal RNA", at positions 55 to 654 of the family's 1533-position model. Lineage: Bacteria; Pseudomonadati; Pseudomonadota; Betaproteobacteria; Neisseriales; Aquaspirillaceae. The record is from RNAcentral.
AUGCAAGUCGAACGGUAACAGGGGAGCUUGCUCCCGCUGACGAGUGGCGAACGGGUGAGUAAUGCAUCGGAACGUGCCGAAUAGUGGGGGAUAACGCACCGAAAGGUGUGCUAAUACCGCAUACGCCCUGAGGGGGAAAGUGGGGGACCGCAAGGCCUCACGCUAAUCGAGCGGCCGAUGUCGGAUUAGCUAGUUGGUGGGGUAAAGGCUCACCAAGGCGACGAUCCGUAGCGGGUCUGAGAGGAUGAUCCGCCACACUGGGACUGAGACACGGCCCAGACUCCUACGGGAGGCAGCAGUGGGGAAUUUUGGACAAUGGGGGAAACCCUGAUCCAGCCAUGCCGCGUGUCUGAAGAAGGCCUUCGGGUUGUAAAGGACUUUUGUCCGGGAGGAAACCCUGAUCGUUAAUAGCGGUCGGGACUGACAGUACCGGAAGAAUAAGCACCGGCUAACUACGUGCCAGCAGCCGCGGUAAUACGUAGGGUGCAAGCGUUAAUCGGAAUUACUGGGCGUAAAGCGUGCGCAGGCGGUGAGAUAAGUCAGCUGUGAAAGCCCCGGGCUCAACCUGGGAACUGCGGCCGAAACUGUCUCGCUAGAGUACGUCAG